GGGGAGGCACUAUUACCCGUGGCUGGAGAGGCCAGUUCUGUCGUUGGCAGCUUAACCCUGGAAUGUAUCAGCACCGGACAGUCAUCGCUGACCAAAUGAGGACACUAAGAUCCAGAGAGGUUUAGUAACAUGCGCAAGGUCACAAGUUCACAGUGUGCCUGCGUCGGGAAGGGCAGACUGUGUACCAGCAAGUCCUGUCCCUGGAGCGCCCAAGUGUCCUCCGCAGCUGGAACUGGGGCCUGUGUGGGUACUUUGCUUUCUACCAUGCCCUCUAUCCCCGAGCCUGGACUGUCUAUCAGCUUCCUGGCCAGAAUGUCACCCUCACCUGCCGUCAGAUCACACCCAUCUUGCCCCAUGACUACCAGGUGAGGCCCCCACAUCUGUAUCUUCCAUUGCCCUCCCUUCCCCAGGACCUGCCUCUGCUAGAAACUGCAUGGCCUGCCAGGCGCGGUAGCUCACGCCUGUAAUCCCAACACUUUGGGAGGCCGAGGCAGGCGGAUCACGAGAUCAGGAGAUCGAGACCAUCCUGGCUAACACGUGAAACCCCAUAUCUACUAAAAAUACAAAAAAAAAAUUAGCUGGGCGUUGUGGCAGGCACCUGUAGUCCCAGCUACUCGGGAGGCUGAGGCAGGAUAAUGGUAUGAACCCGGGAGGCGGAGCUUGCAGUGAGCCGAGAUCGCGCCACCGCACCCCCCCAAAAAAAAAAAAAAAGAAACU
RNAcentral lists this small RNA (717 nucleotides) under Pan troglodytes (chimpanzee). Its description in RNAcentral is "processed transcript". Lineage: Eukaryota; Metazoa; Chordata; Mammalia; Primates; Hominidae. The record is from RNAcentral.